This 338-nucleotide unclassified non-coding RNA is filed under the name Hevea brasiliensis (rubber tree). The record is from RNAcentral. Lineage: Eukaryota; Viridiplantae; Streptophyta; Magnoliopsida; Malpighiales; Euphorbiaceae.
UUCAGGACCUGUGAGCUGCGAUGUAGGAAUUUCCCGUAACCUUUCCUGGGUCUUGGAAGAGGAGCCAAUUAGAGCGUUGGCAAGAGCACCGAGAGGGUUAGAAGAAGAAGAAGAACCAGGAACCGCACAAGAAGCUGCUCCAGUAACCAAUUCUCGCAUCGCCAUAUCUGGUUUCUUUCCGACCUUGACGGACAGUCAAUUUUCCUCGUCGCGAUUCGGUUCUUCCGUCGCUGUUUCAAAUUGCUCUCGUUUCCCACGAACUGCUAUCGAUUACGUAAAUAAGAUUGAUUUUGAGAUGAAAUUGCUGGGAAAGACAGACGAUAACGGGAUGGGCUCUG